UUCGGGAAACCGGAGCUAAUACCGGAUGACACUGAGGAACUCCUGUUCCUUAGUUGAAAGAUGGCUUCGGCUAUCACUUAUAGAUGGGCCCGCGGCGCAUUAGCUAGUUGGUGAGGUAACGGCUCACCAAGGCGACGAUGCGUAGCCGACCUGAGAGGGUGAUCGGCCACACUGGGACUGAGACACGGCCCAGACUCCUACGGGAGGCAGCAGUAGGGAAUCUUCCGCAAUGGACGAAAGUCUGACGGAGCAACGCCGCGUGAACGAUGAAGGCCUUCGGGUCGUAAAGUUCUGUUGUUAGGGAAGAACAAGUGCUAGUUAAAUAAGCUGGCACCUUGACGGUACCUAACCAGAAAGCCACGGCUAACUACGUGCCAGCAGCCGCGGUAAUACGUAGGUGGCAAGCGUUGUCCGGAAUUAUUGGGCGUAAAGCGCGCGCAGGCGGUUUCAUAAGUCUGAUGUGAAAGCCCCCGGCUCAACCGGGGAGGGUCAUUGGAAACUGGGAAACUUGAGUGCAGAAGAGGAAAGUGGAAUUCCAAGUGUAGCGGUGAAAUGCGUAGAGAUUUGGAGGAACACCAGUGGCGAAGGCGACUUUCUGGGUCUGUAACUGACSCUGAGGCGCGAAAGCGUGGGGAGCAAACAGGAUUA
Molecule: ribosomal RNA, 648 nt
Filed under: Bacillus sp. (in: firmicutes)
Lineage: Bacteria; Bacillati; Bacillota; Bacilli; Caryophanales; Bacillaceae
Description: bacterial SSU rRNA
Source: RNAcentral